AUUGAACGCUGGCGGCAGGCCUAACACAUGCAAGUCGAACGGUAACAGGAAACAGCUUGCUGUUUCGCUGACGAGUGGCGGACGGGUGAGUAAUGUCUGGGAAACUGCCUGAUGGAGGGGGAUAACUACUGGAAACGGUAGCUAAUACCGCAUAACGUCGCAAGACCAAAGAGGGGGACCUUCGGGCCUCUUGCCAUCGGAUGUGCCCAGAUGGGAUUAGCUAGUAGGUGGGGUAACGGCUCACCUAGGCGACGAUCCCUAGCUGGUCUGAGAGGAUGACCAGCCACACUGGAACUGAGACACGGUCCAGACUCCUACGGGAGGCAGCAGUGGGGAAUAUUGCACAAUGGGCGCAAGCCUGAUGCAGCCAUGCCGCGUGUAUGAAGAAGGCCUUCGGGUUGUAAAGUACUUUCAGCGGGGAGGAAGGGAGUAAAGUUAAUACCUUUACUCAUUGACGCUACCCGCAGAAGAAGCACCGGCUAACUCCGUG
Molecule: ribosomal RNA, 490 nt
Filed under: uncultured bacterium
Lineage: Bacteria
Description: partial 16S ribosomal RNA
Rfam family: Bacterial small subunit ribosomal RNA
Source: RNAcentral